CUCGCCUGGUUAACAAAAACAUUUUCUUUGGGUUAGAUCAAAGAUAAGGCCUGCUCAAUGAAUCUUAAAUGGCCGCAGUAUAAUGACUGUGCUAAGGUAGCAUAAUAAUUUGCCUUUUAAUUGGGGGCUAGGAUGAAAGGUUUUAUGGAAAAUAGCUGUUUUAAAAGAAAAAAUUGAAUUUAAGCCUUUCAUAAAAACUUGAAGGGAGGCUCAAGGGACGAGAAGACCCUGUGGAUUUUUAUUUAUUAGAAAAUAGAUUUUAUAACAUUUUAUUUUUUGCUUAAAUUUGGUUGGGACGACAGUAAAGUUAACUUUAUUAAAAAGAUAAUUGAGACCCUUUUUAAGGGAUAAAGAAUAAAUUACCCCAGGGAUAACAGCGUAAUACUUUUGGACAGGACAAAUGGAUAAAAGUGUUUGCGACCUCGAUGUUGAAUUAAAAUACCUUUAUUAAGCAUAAAUAAUAGAAGUAAGUCUGUUCGACUUUUAAAAUUUUACAUGAUUUGAUUUCAGACCGGAU
RNAcentral lists this ribosomal RNA (517 nucleotides) under Candona sp. 4 IK-2020. RNAcentral describes it as "partial large subunit ribosomal RNA". It matches the Rfam family "Archaeal large subunit ribosomal RNA", at positions 1887 to 2690 of the family's 2987-position model. The record is from RNAcentral. Lineage: Eukaryota; Metazoa; Arthropoda; Ostracoda; Podocopida; Candonidae.